RNAcentral lists this ribosomal RNA (253 nucleotides) under uncultured bacterium. RNAcentral's name for it is "partial 16S ribosomal RNA". It matches the Rfam family "Bacterial small subunit ribosomal RNA", at positions 524 to 776 of the family's 1533-position model. The record is from RNAcentral.
UACGUAGGGGGCAAGCGUUGUCCGGAAUCAUUGGGCGUAAAGCGCGUGUAGGCGGCUCGGUAAGUCCGCUCUGAAAGCCCGGGGCUCAACCCCGGGAGGCGGGUGGAUACUGCUGAGCUCGAGUCCGGAAGAGGAGUGUGGAAUUCCUGGUGUAGCGGUGAAAUGCGCAGAUAUCAGGAGGAACACCAAUGGCGAAGGCAGCACUCUGGGACGGUACUGACGCUGAGACGCGAAAGCGUGGGGAUCAAACGGG